Molecule: ribosomal RNA, 253 nt
Filed under: uncultured bacterium
Lineage: Bacteria
Description: partial 16S ribosomal RNA
Rfam family: Bacterial small subunit ribosomal RNA
Source: RNAcentral
UACGAAGGGGGCUAGCGUUGCUCGGAAUUACUGGGCGUAAAGCGCGUGUAGGCGGCUAUGUAAGUCGGGCGUGAAAUCCCACGGCUCAACCGUGGAAGUGCACUCGAAACUGCAUAGCUAGAGUCCUGGAGAGGAAGGUGGAAUGCUUGGUGUAGAGGUGAAAUUCGUAGAUAUCAAGCGGAACACCGGUGGCGAAGGCGGCCUUCUGGACAGUGACUGACGCUGAGACGCGAAAGCGUGGGGAGCAAACAGG